Molecule: ribosomal RNA, 427 nt
Filed under: uncultured beta proteobacterium
Lineage: Bacteria; Pseudomonadati; Pseudomonadota; Betaproteobacteria
Description: bacterial SSU rRNA
Rfam family: Bacterial small subunit ribosomal RNA
Source: RNAcentral
UGGGGAAUUUUGGACAAUGGGCGAAAGCCUGAUCCAGCCAUGCCGCGUGAGUGAAGAAGGCCUUCGGGUUGUAAAGCUCUUUCAGUCGGAAAGAAAGAGUUGCAAUGAAUAAUUGUGAUUUAUGACGGUACCGACAGAAAAAGCACCGGCUAACUACGUGCCAGCAGCCGCGGUAAUACGUAGGGUGCGAGCGUUAAUCGGAAUUACUGGGCGUAAAGGGUGCGCAGGCGGUCUUGCAAGUCAGAUGUGAAAGCCCCGGGCUUAACCUGGGAAUUGCGUUUGAAACUACAAGGCUAGAGUGCAGCGGAGGGGAGUGGAAUUCCAUGUGUAGCAGUGAAAUGCGUAGAGAUGUGGAAGAACACCGAUGGCGAAGGCAGCUCCCUGGAUUGACACUGACGCUCAUGCACGAAAGCGUGGGGAGCAAACA